RNAcentral lists this ribosomal RNA (428 nucleotides) under uncultured Staphylococcus sp. Its description in RNAcentral is "bacterial SSU rRNA". It matches the Rfam family "Bacterial small subunit ribosomal RNA", at positions 60 to 473 of the family's 1533-position model. Lineage: Bacteria; Bacillati; Bacillota; Bacilli; Caryophanales; Staphylococcaceae. The record is from RNAcentral.
CGUCCUUUUACACGAGGAGCUUGCUCCUCUGACGUUAGCGGCGGACGGGUGAGUAACACGUGGAUAACCUACCUAUAAGACUGGGAUAACUUCGGGAAACCGGAGCUAAUACCGGAUAAUAUAUUGAACCGCAUGGUUCAAUAGUGAAAGACGGUUUUGCUGUCACUUAUAGAUGGAUCCGCGCCGCAUUAGCUAGUUGGUAAGGUAACGGCUUACCAAGGCAACGAUGCGUAGCCGACCUGAGAGGGUGAUCGGCCACACUGGAACUGAGACACGGUCCAGACUCCUACGGGAGGCAGCAGUAGGGAAUCUUCCGCAAUGGGCGAAAGCCUGACGGAGCAACGCCGCGUGAGUGAUGAAGGUCUUCGGAUCGUAAAACUCUGUUAUUAGGGAAGAACAAAUGUGUAAGCAACUAUGCACGUCUUGAC